Phacochoerus africanus (Common warthog) is the source of this 366-nucleotide long non-coding RNA. RefSeq lists it as uncharacterized. NCBI's taxonomy places the organism in Eukaryota, Metazoa, Chordata, Mammalia, Artiodactyla, Suidae. The record is from RefSeq and is a predicted model, not a curated record. The transcript is spliced from 2 exons.
UUCAUGUGGCUGGGCUCUUCCUUACUUGGGUUUCUCUGUAUUACCUGCUGCACAGACAAGGAGAAUGCUGAUCGAAAGAUGGAAAUAAUCCUUCAGUUAGCAAGGAGCUGAGGCAAGACUCAGGGCCAGCAAUCAGGAAACUGUUGAAAAGAAAGGAGACUCUCCUGCUAAGGCUGCUGUGACUUUCCUUUGUUGGAAGGAAGUCUCCUCAUCUGUAACGACAAUGGUUUGGAGUUCUACCAUGGUCAUAUAAGAUGUGAAAUGAGGAGAAGCUGGGUGAAGAACAUACAGGAACUCUUUUUAUUAUCUUUGUAACUCUUCCAUAAAUUGAGAACUAUUUCAAAAUAAAAAAGGGUUUUUUUUGUU